UGGGGAAUUUUGGACAAUGGGCGAAGCCUGAUCCAGCAAUGCCGCGUGUGUGAAGAAGGCCUUCGGGUUGUAAAGCACUUUUGUCCGGAAAGAAAUCCUUGGCUCUAAUACAGUCGGGGGAUGACGGUACCGGAAGAAUAAGCACCGGCUAACUACGUGCCAGCAGCCGCGGUAAUACGUAGGGUGCAAGCGUUAAUCGGAAUUACUGGGCGUAAAGCGUGCGCAGGCGGUUUGCUAAGACCGAUGUGAAAUCCCCGGGCUCAACCUGGGAACUGCAUUGGUGACUGGCAGGCUAGAGUAUGGCAGAGGGGGGUAGAAUUCCACGUGUAGCAGUGAAAUGCGUAGAGAUGUGGAGGAAUACCGAUGGCGAAGGCAGCCCCUGAGGCAAUCUGACGCUCAUGCACGAAAGCGUGGGGAGCAAACAGGAUUAGAUACCCUGGUAGUCCACG
Molecule: ribosomal RNA, 449 nt
Filed under: uncultured bacterium
Lineage: Bacteria
Description: partial 16S ribosomal RNA
Rfam family: Bacterial small subunit ribosomal RNA
Source: RNAcentral